Molecule: ribosomal RNA, 317 nt
Filed under: uncultured fungus
Lineage: Eukaryota; Fungi
Description: SSU rRNA
Rfam family: Eukaryotic small subunit ribosomal RNA
Source: RNAcentral
AAAGAUUAAGCCAUGCAUGUCUAAGUAUAAACAACUUUAUACUGUAAAACUGCGAACGGCUCAUUAAAACAGCAAUAAUUUAUUUGAUGAUUAUCUUACUACAUGGAUAACUGUAGUAAUUCUAGAGCUAAUACAUGCGUAAAGUCCUAACUCGCAAGGGGAGGGAUGUAUUUAUUAGAUAAGAAACCAAUGCGGGUUAAACCGCCAUUGUGUUGAAUCAUAGUAAAAAUCGGACGGCACUGCGAAUGCAGGUCGUAGGUCAUUCAAAUUUCUGCCCUAUCAGCUUUCGACGGUAGUGUAGUGGACUACCGUGGCGU